AAUGUGCAGAUCAACGAUCUUUCUACAAACCAGAUUUUUAUAUCAAAUAAGCAAAUCUCUGUCCUCUGCUUUAGUGAAGACACAAUCAAUUCUAGCUUCUUUUAUACACUGCAGUUAUUGCUACUUUUGGCAUAGAUGAUCUGGCUCCAAAUUUGCUGUGAGUAGACCAAUUUUUUUCUUAAUUUUCCCGGUAUAAAAAUAAAACUGCCUUUAUGGCAUUCCUGAUGUUACACUAUCAAAUUGCAUAAGGCCUUCCAUCCUGGGGAAAGCAUGAAUAGCAAAAGAGACAAUCAAGCAAUUUGCCAUUCACUCCUCAGCAGAGAGCACAAAGUUUUGGAUUUGAGUUGUGGGGUGUGGUGUGAGUCACUCACUUGGUUUUAAGCAGAAGAAUAACACAAAUAAUGCACUGGUAAGGUUUUGUCUGGUAAUGUAAAUAGACUUAGCUUUUGCUGUUAUGGCAGUUUAUGUAACAUUUUUCUGGUUUAUAUAAUAUUUACCUUGAUUGUUUUUAGAUAUUAAAAAACCAGAAGCCUGUACAAUACUGUUGGACUGCAUUUUAUUUGUCCAAUUUAAAAUUGAUCAUUGCAUUAGUAUCCUCUGAUACUGCAAUAUCUCUACUUCCUAUGUUGUUUCAAAAACAAAUUAGCAAAAGAUAUGAAAUGAAGUUAUAUUUCAAUAUAUUCUCUGUCCUUUCCCUUUGUUUGCCUCUACUUAUUUAAAAUGUUUGAUUGGAGCUUUGAAAGAAAAAGAAAGACCAUGGGUCAGGUGUAGUCAGCUGGCACAAAACAAUAAGGCCACCUGGAAGUGAUCAUUUAUACCAUGUGAGGGUCUGGUAGAUCACCCAAUCCAUGCAUCUUGGUGAGUGUUGGGAGCUGUAUUUCUAACAAGUGAUUUCCUGAAGGUGACCUGGAUUGUGUCUGUCCUGAGAUGUGUCCUGCUGUGAUCUGCACUGCUGCAAUGGCAGCAUGCACCAUGUUAACAGUUACAGGGUAAUUGCUCUUCCCACUAUAACCUACUACUUCUUUUUUUAUUUUUUUUUUCUCAUUACACACUAGCAGGUUUGAGAGCUCAUUUGUUCUCAUGCCAAUUAAUCAAUUUGCCACCAUCUGCAUGUGAAGAGCACCCAAGCAGUUAGAAAACUGACUGGUUUCUUGGGAGAUAGUCACUGGUUCUCCAGACUCACGAGCAGCAAGAGAGGAUGCAGCAAAAAUGAAAAUAAAACUCUUCUGUAGUGCAACCUCUUCCUCAGAACCAUCUGCAACACUACUGAGAUUUGAAAGCCAGAACACAGAAAAAAAACAAACCAUUGCUUAAUGGAUAAUGAUCAAGGACAUUCUCAAACUCACUGCAUUAUCUCCCAGACAAGGGCCCAAGCAGCUCGAGCAGCUCUUCAUUGGUCUCACUCCCAUGUGAAAGAUACAAACACUACAGAAGGCAGAGAACUUCUCUAAAGAAAACCAGCUUAUUUCUCACACAAAUCUAGUGUGAUAUUCCUCCUCAAAAUCUUUGCUGGACCUCAGUGAUGAACAAAUAGAAUUAAUUAAGCAGUGACCACAUAAAAGAACAAAUAAACAGCUGUGAAUAUUCAAACGGAAUUAACAAAAUCAAGCUUCUUAUGGCUCAUGCAGCCAAAAGUGGUGAUGUUCCACUUAUUGGGAGUGACCUCGCAGUGGUUGGAGGUAGCAUUUUGCAGUGCUGCCAGUUUGAAUGUGUACCAGAGUACACUGACACUAAAAGAAAACACAGAUCUCUGUAGAAGACAGAAGACAUAGUGUUUGUAGGAACAAAGCAAAAAUACCAACACUUGCAAGUAGUCACUGCAAAACACAUUCAGUCUGGUGAUCUGUGCACAUCACUGUGACAGCAGCAAUAAAUCACAAGCUCUGCAACUGUUCAGAGGGAAGGUUUCCUGGGAACCUGAAGCCAAAGAUUAAGAUGGAUCAUAUGAUAUUGGAUCCACUCCAUUCAAUAGAUAAGUUUCUGGUUAUCUUAUGCAGAAAACAUAUGUGCCAUCUGUCUUGAGCAUUUAUUAAAUGUGAUGUCUACACUGCGAACAAAACAGAAAUAGACUCUGUUCUUGCCUUCCAGUACUUUCAUGUGAUCACAUCUCUCAGUAAGAUGCAUUGUUCUUAAAUGAUCUCUUCUACUGCAGCUUCUGAAAGUAUAGCUGUCAGCAUUGAAUUGCACCUUUUACCUGGUCACUGAUGUAAUUCCUACUGACUUCUGUAAAUUUUGACAAAAUAAUGCUAUUCCACCAGAAUAAAACAAUAAACUGUCUUAUACAACUCAUUAAACUCUCUUAUAAAAAUUUGAAAAAUUUCUAAUGGCUGGAAAACACACCAAGAAAAAUCAUUCAGCAUAGCAGUAGAAUAGAAUUGUCCAGUAACAAAGAAAAAAAGUUCUACAUAAGUAUCCUGAUGCUAUUCUGGUUGCAAGGGAUUUUAUUCUUUUGAUGGAUUUAAGAUGAGGGUAGCACCAAUGUCAUUUCUCAGCUACUUGUCAUCCUACUUGAU
Molecule: long non-coding RNA, 2513 nt
Organism: Passer domesticus (house sparrow)
Lineage: Eukaryota; Metazoa; Chordata; Aves; Passeriformes; Passeridae
Exons: 2
Source: RefSeq, a predicted model, not a curated record